RNAcentral lists this long non-coding RNA (6391 nucleotides) under Triticum aestivum (bread wheat). RNAcentral describes it as "long non-coding RNA (TAES_LNC017706)". The record is from RNAcentral. Lineage: Eukaryota; Viridiplantae; Streptophyta; Magnoliopsida; Poales; Poaceae.
AUGACCAUAUAUGCUUAGAUCUUUCCAUCACAUGAUGCUUGCCAACUAAAGAGUAGGUUGGAAUGAGAAGGAAUACUACUGACUCUUGCAUAAAAGUAAAAGAUAGGCCCUUCGCAGAGGGAAGCAGGGAUUUGUAGAGGUGCCAGAGCUCGAAGCUAAAACAUAGAUGAAAAUAAUUUUGAGAGGUAUGCUUUCAUUGUCAAUAUAACGACCAAGAGUUCCCAAUAUCUUCCACACUAGAUACAUCAUAGGCGGUUCCCACACAGAAAGGUAAAAAAUUUACUCCCCCUCCACCAACAUUCACACUCCACGGCUUGUCCGAAACAACGGGUGCCGUCCAACUAUCAACAUUCCUGGGGGAGUUUUGUUUAAAUUAUUUGCAAAUUUGUUUUUGAUCUUUUGAUCAUAGGACUGGGCAUCCAAGUUACUAGCCAUUUUCUCGUGAAUGAUGAGGGGAGUCCACUCAUCGUGAGAAUAACCCACCUAGCAUGGAAGAUACUGACAACCCCUAGUCGCUACAUGAGCGAUUCGGGCAUACAAAACAUAUUAUUAUUUGAAGGUUUAGAGUUUGGCACAUGCAAGUUUACUUGGAACGGCAGGUAAAUACUGCAUAUAGGUAGAUAUGGUGGACACUCAUGGAAGAAACUUGGUUGAAGGAAUUUGGAUGCACAAGCAGUAUUCCCGCUUAGUACAGAUAUUUUGGCUAGCAAAGGACUCUAAAUAACAAGCAUCACAUGUUAGAGGAUCCAUAACAAUACAACGUAUAUACAAAUAUACCCAAGCAUAACUCAUUAUGUUGUCUUCCUUGUCCAACUUCAACUAAUUUGCUCAGGUUCGAAAUAAUUAAUGGGGCUCACUAUCAUACAAGAUGUCCAAGAUAGUAUAUUUAUAUGUGAAAUCUCUCUUCCUUCAAUAUUCUUUCAUGAAUUGUUCAAGUGACCAAUACAAUGUUUGCUAACCUUCAAUAAAUUUACCACCUCUACUUCUUAUAUGUGAAGUCAUUACUCCCCAUGGGAAAGGAAUAUGAAACAUAUAUAAUUUUAGAUUUGUGACAUUCAAAUCAUUCAACCAUUUACUCAUAGGAUAUAAGUGACACACAUGAGUAAAUGACAAACUACUCCAAAAAGAUAUAAGUGAUGAUCAAUGAGUAGUUAAAUAAUUAUGUAGCUAUGUGAAGACUCUCUAACAUUUAAGAAUUUAAGAUCUUGGUAUUUUAUUCAAACAGCAAGCAAAACAACAGAAAAUAAAAUGACGCUCCAAGCAAAACACAUAUCAUGUGGUGAAUAAAAAUAUAGCACCAAGUAAAGUUACCGAUGAAUGAAGACGAAAGAGGGGAUGCCAUUCGGGGCAUCCAGAUGCUUAGGCACUUGGUUAUGCUUGAAUAUUACCUUGGGGUGCCUUGGGCAUCCCCAAGCUUAGGCUCUUGCCACUCCUUAUUCCAUAGUCCAUCGAAUCUUUACCCAAAACUUGAAAACUUCACAACACAAAACUCAACAGAAAACUCGUAAGCUCCGUUAGUAUAAGAAAAUAAAUCACCACUUAGGUACAGUUGUGAACUUAUUCUAAAUUCAUAUUGGUGUAGUAUCUACUGUAUUCCAACUUAUCUAUGGUUCAUACCCUCCGAUACUACUCAUAGAUUCAUCAAAAUAAGCAAACAACACAUAGAAAACAGAAUCUGUCAAAAACAGAACAGUCUGUAGUAAUCUGUAUCAAGCGUAUACUUAUGGAACUCCAAACAUUCUACCAAAAUAGGACGACCUAGAUAAUUUGAUUAUUGAUCUGCUUCAAUUGGAAUCAGUAUUUUAUCACGUUCUGGUGAUUUUAAACAAUUGUUUUCGUGAACAGAAAGUUUCUGGAAUUUUCAGCAAGAUCAAAUAACUAUCAUCCAAGAAGAUCCUAUAGGUCUUACUUGGCACAAACACUAAUUAAAACAUAAAACGACAUCUAACCAGAGGCUAGAUGAAUUAUUUAUUAAUAAGCAGGAACAAAAAGCAAGGAAGAAAAAUAAAAUUGGGUUGCCUCCCAACAAGAGCUAACGUUUAACGCCCCUAGCUUGGCAUGAUGAUUUCAAUGAUGCUCGCAUAAAAGAUAAGAAUUGAAACAUAAAGAGAGAAUCAUGAAGAAUAUGAAUACCACAUUUAAGUCUAACCCACUUCCUAUGCAUAGGUAUUUUGUGAGCAAACAACUUAUGGGAACAAUAACCAACUAGCAUAGGCAGGCAAAACAAGCAUAACUCCAAAAAAAAUUCAACAAAUAGAGAGGAAACUUGAUAUUAUUGCAAUAUGUAGAAGCAUGUGAUCCUCUCUCAUAAUAAUUUUCAGUAGCAUCAUGAAUGAAUUCAACCAUAUAACUAGCACAUAAAGCAUUCGUUUCAUGAUCUACUUGCAUAGAAAUUUUACUACUCUCCACAUAUGAAAAUUUAUUCUCAUCAAUAGUAGUGGGAGCAAACUCAACAAAGUAACUAUCAUGUGAAGCAUAAUCCAAUUGAAAAUUAAAAUCAUGAUGACAAGUUUCAUGGUUAUAUUUAUUCUUAAUAGCAUACAUGUCAUCACAAUAAUCAUCAUAAAUAGGAGGCAUGCUAUCAUCAUAAUAAAUUUGCUCAUCAAAACUUGGGGGACUAAACAUAUCAUCUUCAUUAAACAUAGCAUCCCCAAGCUUGUCGCUUUGCAUAUCAUUAGCAUCAUGGGUAUUCAAAGAAUUCAUACUAACAAUAUUGCAAUCAUGCUCAUCAUUCACAUAUUUUAUGCCAAGCAUUCUAUGUAAUUCUUCUUCUAGUACUUGAGCACAAUUUUCCUUCCCAUCAUAUUCACGAAAGACAUUAAAAAGAUGAAGCAUAUGAGGCACCUGCAAUUCCAUUUUUUUUGUAGUUUUCUUUUAUAGACUAAACUAGUGAUAAAACAAGAAACAAAAAGAUUCGAUUGCAAGAUCUAAAGAUAUACCUUCAAGCACUCACCUCCCCGGCAACGGUGCCAGAAAAGAGCUUGAUGUCUACUACACAACCUUCUUCUUGUAGACGUUGUUGGGCCUCCAAGUGCAGAGGUUUGUAGGACAGUAGCGAAUUUCCCUCAAGUGGAUGACCUAAGGUUUAUCAAUCCGUGGGAGGCAUAGGAUGAAGAUGGUCUCUCUCAAGCAACCCUGCAACCAAAUAACAAAGAGUCUCUUGUGUCCCCAACACACCCAAUACAAUGGUAAAUUGUAUAGGUGCACUAGUUCGGUGAAGAGAUGGUGAUACAAGUGCAAUAUGGAUGGUAGAUAUAGGUUUUUGUAAUCUGAAAAUAUAAAAACAGCAAGGUAACUAAUGAUAAAAGUGAGCACAAACGGUAUUGCAAUGCGUUGAAACAAGGCCUAGGGUUCAUACUUUCACUAGUGCAAGUUCUCUCAACAAUAAUUACAUAAUUGGAUCAUAUAACUAUCCCUCAACAUGCAACAAAGAGUCACUCCAAAGUCACUAAUAGUGGAGAACAAACGAAGAGAUUAUGGUAGGGUACGAAACCACCUCAAAGUUAUCCUUUCUGAUCGAUCUAUUCAAGAGUCCGUAGUAAAAUAACACGAAGCUAUUCUUUCCGUUCGAUCUAUCAUAGAGUUCGUACUAGAAUAACACCUUAAGACACAAAUCAACGAAAACCCUAAUGUCACCUAGAUACUCCAAUGUCACCUCAAGUAUCCGUGGGUAUGAUUAUACGAUAUGCAUCACACAAUCUCAGAUAAAUCUAUUCAACCAACACAAAGAACUUCAAAGAGUGCCCCAAAGUUUCUACCAGAGAGUCAAGAUGAAAACGUGUGCCAACCCCUAUGCAUAGGUUCAUGGGCGGAACCCGCAAGUUGAUCACCAAAACAUACAUCAAGUGGAUCACGUGAUAUCCCAUUGUCACCACAGAUAAGCACGGCAAGACAUACAUCAAGUGUUCUCAAAUCCUUAAAGACUCAAUCCGAUAAGAUAACUUCAAAGGGAAAACUCAAUCCAUUACAAGAGAGUAGAGGGGGAGAAACAUCAUAAGAUCCAACUAUAAUAGCAAAGCUCGUGAUACAUCAAUAUCGUGCCGAAUGAAGAACACGAGAGAGAGAGAGAGAGAUCAAACACAUAGCUACUGGUACAUACCCUCAGCCCCGAGGGUGAACUACUCCCUCCUCGUCAUGGAGAGCGCCGGGAUGAUGAAGAUGGCCACCGGUGAGGGAUCCCCCCCCUCCGGCAGGGUGCCGGAACAGGGUCCCGAUUGGUUUUUGGUGGCUACGGAGGCUUGCGGCGGUGGAACUCCUGAUCUAUUCUGCUCCCCGAUGUUUUUAGGAUAUAUGGACAUAUAUAGGCGAAAGAAGUCGGUAAGGGGAGCCACGAGGGGCCCACGAGGGUGGAGGGCGCGCCCAGGGGGGUGGGUGUGCCCCCUGCCUCGUGCCUUCCUCGUGGGUUCCCUUACGUACACUCCAUGUCUUCUAGAUUGCUUUCGUUCCAAAAAUAACUCUCCCGAAGGUUUCAUUCCGUUUGGACUCCGUUUGAUAUUCCUUUUCUGCGAAACACUGAAACAAGGAAUAAAAUAGAAACUGGCACUGGGCUCUGGGUUAAUAGGUUAGUCCCAAAAAUAAUAUAAAAGUGCAUAGUAAAUCCCAUUAAACAUCCAAGAUGGAUAAUAUAAUAGCAUGAAUACUUCAUAAAUUAUAGAUACGUUGGAGACGUAUCAGCAUCCCCAAGCUUAAUUCCUGCUCGUCCUCGAGUAGGUAAAUGAUAAAAGAAAGAAUUUAUGAAGUGUGAAUGCUAGCAGGUGCACAAGUUUGAUCAAUGAUAAUUUCAAUCACCUUUUUAGCAUCAUCAUAUGUCAUAACAGUAGCUCAACUCAUAGAACUUUUCAUGAUCAAGUAACAAACUAUUCACAUGUUAAAGUAUAGAUCAUAAACUUUCUUGAAAACUAACAAGCCGUGUUAUUAGUCAUCAAACAAUUACAAUUCAUAUUAUUUUCAGGAAGAGUCUAUGUCAGAGCUUUGAUUCAGUAAACUUCACAUACUCAACUAUCAUUUGUCUUCCAUGAUUGCUACCACUCAAAGCAUAUUUUUAAAACAAAUAGUAUUCAUCGAACAUAGAGAAAGAUAGGGGCUUAAUGUUUCGCCUCCCAACCUUUUACCUCAAGGGUAAUGUCAACAAUAAUAAUUCAUGCUCAAAUAUAUUUGAAUGGCCAUAUAUGCUUAGAUAUUUCCAUCACAUGAUGCUUGCCAACUAAAGAGUAGGUUGGAAUGAGAGGGAAUAUUACUGACUAUUGCAUAAAAGUAAAAGAUAGGCCCUUCGCAGAGGGAAGCAUGGAUUUGUAGAGGUGCCAGAGCUCGAAGCUAAAACAGAGAUGAAAAUAAUUUUGAGAGGUAUGCUUUCAUUGUCAAUAUAACGACCAAGAGUUCCCAAUAUCUUCCACACUAGAUACAUCAUAGGCGGUUCCCACACAGAAAGGUAAAAUUUUUACUCCCCCUCCACCAACAUUCACACUCCACGGCUUGUCCGAAACAACGGGUGCCGUCCAACUUUCAACAUUCCUGGGGGAGUUUUGUUUAAAUUAUUUGCGAAUUUGUUUUUGAUCUUUUGAUCAUAGGACUGGGCAUCCCAGUUACCAGCCAUUUUCUUGUGAAUGAUGAGCGGAGUCCACUCAUCGUGAGAAUAACCCACCUAACAUGGAAGAUACUGACAGCCCCUAGUCGCUACAUGAGCGAUUCAGGCAUAGAAAACAGAUUAUUAUUUGAAGGUUUAGAGUUUGGCACAUGCAAAUUUACUUGGAACGGCAGGUAAAUACCGCAUAUAGGUAGAUAUGCUGGACACUCAUGGAAGAAACUUGGUUCAAGGAAUUUGGAUGCACAAGCAGUAUUCCCUCUUAGUACAGAUAUUUUGGCUAGCAAAGGAUUCUAAAUAGCAAGCAUCACAUGUUAGAGGAUCCAUAACAAUAUAACUUAUAUACAAAUAUACCCAAGGAUAACUCAUUAUGUUGUCUUCCUUGUCCAACUUCAACUAAUUUUCUCAGGUUUGAAAAUAAUUAAUGGGGCUCACAAUCAUAGAAGAUGUCCAAGAUAGUAUAUUUAUAUGUGAAAUCUCUCUUCCUUCAACAUUCUUUCAUGAAUUGUUCAAGUGACCAAUACAAUGUUUGUAACCUUCAAUAAAUUACCACCUCUACUUCUUAUAUCUGAAGUCAUUACUCCCCAUGGGAAAGGCAUAUGAAACAUAUAUAAUUUUAGAUUUAUGACAUUCAAAUCAUUCAACCAUUUAGUCAUGGGAUAUAAGUGAAGCACACGAUUAAAUGACAAACUACUUCAAAAAGAUAUAAGUGAAUAUCAAUGAGUAGAUAAAUAAUUAUGUAGCUAUGUGAAGACUCUCUAACAUUUAAGAAUUUCAGAUCUUGGUAUUUUAUUCAAACAGCAAGCAAAA